UUGGCUCCUGAGGCUCCUCGUUUCAGCUGGUGUCGUUUCAGAGCAGCCAGGUGCCCGUCGUCCUUGUGAUCUGGGGGCUCAUUGCGAGGCAGCUGCAGAGGCUUGGCACGUUUUCCCUUCAGGCCUGACCCCGUUAGCACUCAGAAGGGCAGGAGAGCAUAAAGAGAGCCAGAAGCUGACCUGGAGAGGAAGAAGGAAGGCAGUGAGAUGUGACUUGGAGGUGUCCAAAAACCCUUUCAUGGAUGUGGUGAGGGUUGCCUACCUAGAGAACAAAGCAGGAGGAGUACCUGGAGGAGUUUCAUGUGCUCAGGUGGAGCUGUUUCCUUCUGGAUAAAAUUCUUCUGUGACUGGCAUCUUGCACUCCAAGCUAAGCAGGGAAUCCACCUAAUACAUAGAGGGAACACUAUGUCUGAUCUCUUGUCUCUCACUCAAAAGGGGACCCCUUGAGCCUGGCCUAACCCUGCACUAUUGAUAUAUGAGCAGGACAUGUCUCUGCUGGAUUCAUCCAUCAAGCAACCACAAGAGGUGAUUUCUAGGGAUUAAUGUUCUGGUGGCUGUGUGCAGAGGUUGCAAGGAGGAGGGAUCGUGGCAGUAGCUGGUUUAUUGAAAAGACAGAAAAAUGAAUGUGACAGAAAUAGGGCCCUUAGCAAUGCAGAUAGCUAUAGAUCAAUGGGUGGGUUGCUUUCAGUGCCUCUGUUUGCUUUCUGCAACACCUAUCUGUAGAAAACAAGGAAACACAGUUUUUGACAAGGCUCUGACAAGGCUGGUUGUGUUAUAAGGAUUUGUUCCCAGUCUCUCACAACCAAGCCAAAUGUAACCCUUGAGGUUGAGACUCGCUGUGGUGGAUGUCUCUGGUGGUUUGGAGUGGGGGAGCUGAAUUUAAUCUGAAGCAGCUCGGAAAGGGUUUCUCAGAAUGAGGCUAGAGAAAAGGAAACAGAUGUAUCUGUGGUUUAAAAUUGACUUGCAGUGCCUUUCUUUGAGACGAUCUAAAGCUUCUGUGGAGCAGUGACUAGAAAUUUGACUGGAAAGGGCCCCUACUGCAGAGAAUAUUUCUGUCGUCUUCUGAAACACUGCCCCAAUCUAGCCAGACUGUAAGCCCCCAAAGAAAACCAGAGUAAAUCUUAUUUUCACACACCCAACAGCAUUUUCUCAGAGUUUACCAGCCAAAUUGUCUGCCUAUCCUUGGCAUGCAUGACCACUGUGUAUGACCCAUCACAACUGAGCAAAGAAGUGUGCAGUCCUGAGCUUCGUUUUCCUUGCAAUUUGCUUAGUGGUGUGGGGCUACAUGUGGUGCUGGCACCAUAGGAGAAACCACAGAACAUGGAUCAUGUGAAUACAUCUGAGAGGCAUACAGGCAAGUUUAUUUUGCAUUUCACUACUGGCCAAAAGCAUUUAGAUGGACUUAGAGCUUCGGGCUUAGAGCUUUCCUUGCUGAGCAAUGAGAAAACUCAGUGAAGUAGAGAGAUUUGUUAUCACAGGUGAAAUAAAUCCAACUCUUUGUUUAGCUCCUGACAUGAAAAAUAAAGUGAAUAUUUCUCACUGA
Long non-coding RNA from Anas platyrhynchos (mallard), 1543 nucleotides. RefSeq lists it as uncharacterized. The record is from RefSeq and is a predicted model, not a curated record. Lineage: Eukaryota; Metazoa; Chordata; Aves; Anseriformes; Anatidae.